CCUACGGGAGGCACCAGUGGGGAAUUGUUCACAAUGGGCGCAAGCCUGAUGACGCAACGCCGCGUGGAGGAUGAAGGUCUUCGGAUUGUAAACUCCUGUUGCCCGGGACGAACGGCUCCAACUUAAUACGUGGGAGUGUGACGGUACCUGCUGAGGAAGCCCCGGCUAACUCUGUGCCAGCAGCCGCGGUAAUACAGAGGGGGCAAGCGUUGUUCGGAAUUACUGGGCGUAAAGGGCGCGUAGGCGGCCCGUUAAGUCGAACGUGAAAUCCCUGAGCUCAACUCGGGAACUGCGUCCGAUACUGGCGGGCUUGAGUCCGGGAGAGGGAUGCGGAAUUCCAGGUGUAGCGGUGAAAUGCGUAGAUAUCUGGAGGAACACCGGUGGCGAAGGCGGCAUCCUGGACCGGCAUUGACGCUGAGGCGCGAAAGCUAGGGGAGCAAACGGGAUUAGAUACCCCGGUAGUCCUCGCCCUAAACGAUGAAUGCUUGGUGUGGCGGGUAUCGAUCCCUGCCGUGCCGCAGCUAACGCAUUAAGCAUUCCGCCUU
This 545-nucleotide ribosomal RNA is filed under the name uncultured Acidobacteriota bacterium. Its description in RNAcentral is "bacterial SSU rRNA". It matches the Rfam family "Bacterial small subunit ribosomal RNA", at positions 338 to 875 of the family's 1533-position model. Lineage: Bacteria; Pseudomonadati; Acidobacteriota. The record is from RNAcentral.